UGGGGAAUUUUGGACAAUGGGCGAAAGCCUGAUCCAGCAAUGCCGCGUGUGUGAAGAAGGCCUUCGGGUUGUAAAGCACUUUUGUCCGGAAAGAAAUGGCUCUGGUUAAUACCUGGGGUCGAUGACGGUACCGGGAGAAUAAGGACCGGCUAACUACGUGCCAGCAGCCGCGGUAAUACGUAGGGUCCAAGCGUUAAUCGGAAUUACUGGGCGUAAAGCGUGCGCAGGCGGUUGUGCAAGACCGAUGUGAAAUCCCCGAGCUUAACUUGGGAAUUGCAUUGGUGACUGCACGGCUAGAGUGUGUCAGAGGGGGGUAGAAUUCCACGUGUAGCAGUGAAAUGCGUAGAGAUGUGGAGGAAUACCGAUGGCGAAGGCAGCCCCCUGGGAUAACACUGACGCUCAUGCACGAAAGCGUGGGGAGCAAACAGG
Molecule: ribosomal RNA, 429 nt
Filed under: Bacillota bacterium
Lineage: Bacteria; Bacillati; Bacillota
Description: Firmicutes bacterium partial 16S ribosomal RNA
Rfam family: Bacterial small subunit ribosomal RNA
Source: RNAcentral